This 525-nucleotide long non-coding RNA is filed under the name Pongo abelii (Sumatran orangutan). RNAcentral's name for it is "lincRNA". The record is from RNAcentral. Lineage: Eukaryota; Metazoa; Chordata; Mammalia; Primates; Hominidae.
GACUCUGCCUGAGAUAGUUUGAGAAAUUUUAUACAUUCCUCCAAAGAAAAAAAAUACAGAAAAGCUAUUUCAAAACCAAAAUCUCCUUAUUUUCCUGGAAUAGAAUGAGAGGAAGAAAUUAAAAUUGAGAGAGGUUAACAAUUGUGCCCAAGGCUACAUAGCUACUAAGCAAACCAGAUCUAUGCUCAAAGCCCAUGCAGGACUGUAACCACGGUGCAAGACCAAUCCUCCUGCUUGGAGAACUCAUCCAACUCCACAUCUAUAUCUUCAGGUUGGACUCUCUUCUUCAACCCAUGUACAUGUCCAGCAUUCCCUCAUCAUUGACAAAUACUUUCCUUUGACUUUACUGAUUCUCUGACUACCACUUUUUCAAUGAAGGUAUUUUUUCAGUCAACCAUUUUAACAAAUUCAUCUUUGCUUGGUCUCCACUUCCUCUCCUUGAAGUUGCUCUUCACAUCACUAUAAACCAGCUUUUGAUCUCAUUGCUUCUUAGAGAGUUAGCAAAAAAUGGCUAGAAUAAUAGUU